AAUGAACGUUGGCGGCGUGGAUUAGGCAUGCAAGUCGAGCGAUAACCGUAGCAAUACGGGGACAGCGGCGAAAGGGAGAGUAGUGCGUGGAUACCUACCCUCGGGUUCGGGAUAGCUACGGGAAACUGUAGGUAAUACCGAAUAACAUCUCCGGAUCAAAGGUGUGAUUCCGCCCGGGGAGGGGUCCACGUCCUAUUAGCUAGUUGGCGAGGUAACGGCUCACCAAGGCUGUGAUGGGUACGGGGUGUGAGAGCAUGCCCCCGCUCACUGGGACUGAGACACUGCCCAGACGCCGACGGGUGGCUGCAGUCGAGAAUCUUCGGCAAUGGGCGCAAGCCUGACCGAGCGACGCCGCGUGCGAGAUGAAGGCCUUCGGGUUGUAAAUCGCUGUCAGAGGGGAGGAAAUGCCGGGAAGUAAUUCAUAAUCGACUCGGUUUGACCUAUCCUAAGAGGAAGGACGGGCUAAGUUCGUGCCAGCAGCCGCCGUAA
Molecule: ribosomal RNA, 489 nt
Filed under: uncultured bacterium
Lineage: Bacteria
Description: partial 16S ribosomal RNA
Rfam family: Bacterial small subunit ribosomal RNA
Source: RNAcentral